CUCUCCCUCCGCCGCCGCCGCUUCUUUUCUUUGCCUCCUCCUUCCUCCUCCUCCGCGUCCUCCUCCUCCUCCUCCUCGCUCGCUCUGUCUGGCCGCCCCCCCCGCCGUGCUCUCGCCCUCAUGCCCCGACGGGCCCCCCCCACAACAAUGAGACUCGCACGCCGGGCUCGCCCCCUCCGCGCCGCUCGCCCGGCUCCUAGGGCCGCCCCGCCGCCGCGUAGCCCGAGCCCGGCGGGGGAGGCGCCGAGUGGCACAUCGCGGGCGCCCGCCCGCCCCGCGCCGCCCCGCGCCACCCGCUCACGCGCCGCCCCCCCGGCCCCCCUGCCCGGCCGCGGCAGCCAUGGCCGCGCGCCUCCGCUCGCUCGCUCCCGGCCCGCCCGCCGCCAGCCGCCGGGUAAAGUCUUAGGUUCAGGGAACAAAGCCUGGCUUGGUAGGGAGCUUUUCGCUCUUUCGCUCCGUGCUGCUUUGCCUGCUUUCUUUUUCGUUUCACGGCUCUGGGUCGUCGCUCCCGAGCCCUCCCUCUGCCCGCACUCCCGUCUCGGGCCCCGGGUCCCCGAGUCUCCAGCCCCCUCCGCCAAGUCUUCGUCUCUGGGUGGAUUCUUCAGCCCCAGGGAAACUUUGGAGUGGAGACCGGGGGAAGGGGCGCUAGGAGGAAUGGGAGCGACGCGGGCCGUUCGCCCCCGCCCCACCCCGUGUCUGGGGGUCUUUUUGGAUGGCCGCCCUCGGGCCCUUUCCUCCGAGGCCACUCUGGAGGGUAGACGCUCUCACACGCAGACAUUUAUUCAUUCAACAGAUAUUUAUUAAACGCUCGUUGCCAGUCGCUGGGAUCGAGUAGAGAGCAAAACAUAUUCCUGCCCUCGGGGAGCUUCCUGUCGGGUUCACAGACACACACGCACGCACAGGGACUCAGAGCCCCAGAGACACACACCGAGGCACCCACAGACACGAGCUAACUCCCAGCUUCAGUCACACCACUGACCCUCCCAGAGACACGAACCUCCGCUCCAGCCCCGCGGGUGCGCUUAGAGACCCACGAGAGUUAGAGACCCGCAACCACGAGGUGCUCACGAACACCAGUUACACUUGACCUCUAGGCACGCACACAGACACACAAGGUAACUCACACGCAGCACUCCAGAGGACUAAAGUCCCUGCAAUUGGGUCUGGGGGAGAAGUGAGGGGCGUCGGCCCAAAGUCUUCUUCCCAACCUGUGUGGGCAAGGGGGGGUGAGAUCUGACCCCCAAAAACUUCCUAAAGGGGGACGACUCGUGGGGACUAAAGGUCACCCGCCCCCCACAGCGGGAGUUCGGGUGGCGUAGGGGAGAAGGCAGCCCUGGGGGCUUCAACGACACUUCAAAGACCUCGCGGCCGGGAACGCUUCCUGCGGGGGAGGGGCAAACAGAGAGGAGAAGGGAAGACGGGCCGGGGGACUGGGGGUGGAGGAGGCCGCCUCCCCUUCGGCGCACUGCCCCCUGGCAGACUCUUCCGCCGGGUCCGCCUCCUUUUCACCAGCACCUGUUCAACCGGAACAUCAAGGGCCUGGGGCCCGCCGCGGCCCCCCGUCGGCUCUUUAGUACCUUUCAUCCGGAAGGGAGAUGAAUCCCCGCCCAGGAGGGGGGAGUAGGGCGGGGGAGAACUUGUCCUUGACCUGGUCUUUGGCGUCAGGGAUUUACUCCCUUAAUCCCGGAGAGGCGGGAGUUUGGGGAGGUCCAGGAAGCUGAGUUCUGGGCUGCAGCCCCACACCUCUCCUCGCUCCGGUGGACACAGGGAAUCUCGGAGGGCUGCCGGGACGAAGAGGCUACAUCUACACAGGGCGGUGUAGGGGAAGCCCGUCUCUUCGACCUCCGUGCCUGGGAGUAGGGGCCGAGAGCCAGAUUAUUGCGAUGACCGGAAUCCCGGCGAGGACGGCCGCGCUCCGGUUCCUUGGUCAAAUUUGUGAAUUUCGCUAACACGAAAAGUUAAACAAGACACAGAGGAGAAACUGCACUUAAGGGUUUCUAACGAAUUACCUUUACUAGCAAGAAUAAAACUGCAAGAAAAUUAAACGUAAAAAUGUCAGUCCUAAAUCAUGCACGAGUUUCAGAAUAUUUGAAUAUUUCCUUUUGGGGCCCACCGCUGCCAAGGUGGCCGCAGUUUCGGGUUUCGCCGGACAGGGCUCACUAAAACGUGCCUACGCCCCAGGGAUGGACGACUUGGAGACAGGGGCCGGGAAGCCUUUGUCUCAGGUCACCCUGCGCCAGGGUCAUCCUCCUCUAAGAUUCCAGGACCAUGAUCAUCCCUCUAUUGCUACUUCUUAGAUCAGCUUGUAAUGUCCAUCUCCCCCACCAGACUGCGUCUCCAGCAUCUCUGAGUCCCCAGGGCCUGGCCUGGGGCUUGCUACAUGGUGGGUGCUCAGUAACUGUGAGAUGGAGUCUUGUUCUGUCACCCAGGCUGGAGUGCAG
This 2441-nucleotide long non-coding RNA is filed under the name Homo sapiens (human). Its description in RNAcentral is "HSALNT0389621". Lineage: Eukaryota; Metazoa; Chordata; Mammalia; Primates; Hominidae. The record is from RNAcentral.